Molecule: long non-coding RNA, 2188 nt
Organism: Lineus longissimus
Lineage: Eukaryota; Metazoa; Nemertea; Pilidiophora; Heteronemertea; Lineidae
Exons: 5
Source: RefSeq, a predicted model, not a curated record
CGUAGUGACGGUGUUUCGAUAACUCAGUUAGACUUCGAGAUCUACAUUUUCGACAAAGGCCUGGUGUAAUAUUACGUACUUGAUGAAGGUUUAAUGACACGAAUGAGUACAAGUACAUUACAUUUUUCGACGAAGGCCUUCUGUAAUUUCAUACGCUUCUUACGCAACAUUCAAUAGAUUUAUUUACUGUAUUAUCAUUUCGACCAAGGCGAAUUCGACACUUCAAUUACACAAGCACAAUCAAACUUAGUCAUUCCAGUCAGUUACUGAAGCACAGCGAAAACUGUCUGAAUUAGUGCUGCUGAUGGCAUGUAAUUACUCUACUACCACUACCAGUGACAGUCAAUGUCCAUAUAUUUUCAAGUGUGCGAAAUUAGUACUCAGUAAUUAGCAAUUCUUUUUGUUCCCAAUGCCCAUCCAUGAGAAUAUAUUUCACGCAUGUGACAAUCAUGUAAUCAUCCUGUUUUUUGUGUUCUAUUCAUGCAAUAAAUAAAUUCAGUAUUUUCAAAUCAUUGGUGCUACAAAACUAUUCUCAUUAUAGAUUAUUCAUAUCUUAUAAAAUGCUGUCAUGUCAAAUUUUGUGUCCUAUAAAUCAUUAUGAAGUCGGCAUUUUAUAUACAACUUUUGUACUCCUCCUAAAUAAACAUACAAAUCUUGUUUUAUGUAAACUUUGUAUAUGUGACCCGUCACAGCAAAACCAGGCGCAUGUCGCUCUGAGCUUGGCAGGUUGAGACGGACUGUUUGUUCAUUUAUCUAUUGUCUGCCUUUUGUAAAAUAUGAGCACAUCAAUUUCUUCCAUUAUCUCCUGGUGUCAUUUAGGCUCAUCUUCUGUGCGACAUGUACCUGGUUUUGCUGUGACGGGUCACAUAUUCUAUAGAUAUACAACACUCUAAUGUCACAAUGCCUCUCUCACUCGCUUUUAUAUAGCAAGAUGUAUGAAUAAACAUGACACACCAACUAUGUACAAAAUUGCUAACAAACUGCACCAUUUGUCAGUACACCACAUGAAAUAGAGAGAUAUGUCUUAAUUCUAAUCUUUCAUUAGCGACACCAUUUCUUACCCGAGUGCCUCCUUCAUUCAUACAUCUUGUACUUUAACUCAAGAUACCCAUCUUUGAAUAUUUUUAGUAUACCAAGUACUACAAUGUCAAUGUAUUGAAGUCAUGUUCUUGUAGUGUUAUUGGCUUUCUAUUAUCUUGUCAAAAUACCACUUGGUUCUCGCAAAAUCUCAAUAAAAACAAAUGCUAUUGGAUGUAUUGCAUAUUCUAACAGCUAUCCACUGUAUCGAUUUAUCCAUCAUCUGUACUAUUUGUCACAAAAAUGUUAUAUUAUGUAAAUCAUAUUUCAUUACAUAAUGCUCACUGCCAAUUACUGCUGAACCAUUCAUAUGUCAUUUAAAUAAAUAAUUUUCAACUUUUUAAAACCGUCUUAUAGUACUGUUCUUGUCACUUAGCUGAACCAAUUGCUCUAUAGCAUGAAAUUUCCAGAAAUGCCCCAGGGACUGAAAAGUGAUGUUUUAACAGAGAGGUGUCCUAAACUGAGAAGUCGAGUUGAAUGGAAACAACCAAUUUGGAACCAAAAACUACUGUCCUUAUUAAAGAGGUUGUCCUCAAUAGAAAGGUGUCCACAAAAAGUAGGUCCACUGUAUAUGAAAGUACAAACCCUGGUACAUGUAGUGACAUCAUCUACUGCUCGAUGUGGACACCUGCAAAUGCAGCGACAAUGUCACAUCAGUUAUUUAAUUCAUCGUCCUUUGUGCAGAUGGCACCACCCAUCAAGCAUGUUGGUGACGAAUAGUGUCGCAGCAUUUCGUCACCGAGCUUACACGAAAAUGCACUGUCAUUCAUUCAGCCAUAAGUGCAAGACUGUAGGGUUGUUUCCAACCAAAACAUGUUCGAAAUGUGUCAAGCAUUCGGAACACCCAAAGACUGAUUAGAGAAGUCAAAAUUGAAUGGAAACAACCAAUUUGGGACCAAAACCAGUGUCCUUAUUGGAAAGGUUGUCUUUAAUAGAGAGGUGUCUACUAACGGAGGUUCCACUCUACAUAAUGUAGGAACCCUGGUUGUGACAUUGUCCACUCCUCCAGCUGCACACCACCAAAUCCACAACAAUGUCACACCAGUUAUUUAGUUCAUCAUGCUUAUGGUCAUUGUACUUUCAUCUUAUAUAAAAUGUAACUUUUUACACG